CCUACGGGCGGCAGCAGUGAGGAAUAUUGGUCAAUGGCCGUAAGGCUGAACCAGCCAAGUCGCGUGAAGGAAGAAGGAUCUAUGGUUUGUAAACUUCUUUUAUAGGGGAAUAAAGUGAUCCACGUGUGGAUAUUUGCAUGUACCCUAUGAAUAAGCAUCGGCUAACUCCGUGCCAGCAGCCGCGGUAAUACGGAGGAUGCGAGCGUUAUCCGGAUUUAUUGGGUUUAAAGGGUGCGUAGGUUUUUUUUUAAGUCAGCGGUGAAAGUUUGUGGCUCAACCCCAAAAUUGCCGUUGAAACUGGGAGCCUUGAGUGUGUUUGAGGUAGGCGGAAUGCGUGGUGUAGCGGUGACAUGCUUAGAUAUCACGCAGAACUCCGAUUGCGAAGGCAGCUUACUAAGCCAUAACUGACACUGAUGCUCGAACGCGUGGGGAUCAAACAGGAUUAGAUACCCUUGUAGUC
RNAcentral lists this ribosomal RNA (460 nucleotides) under uncultured bacterium. Its description in RNAcentral is "partial 16S ribosomal RNA". It matches the Rfam family "Bacterial small subunit ribosomal RNA", at positions 338 to 795 of the family's 1533-position model. The record is from RNAcentral.